Long non-coding RNA from Fundulus heteroclitus (mummichog), 886 nucleotides. RefSeq lists it as uncharacterized. The transcript is spliced from 3 exons. Lineage: Eukaryota; Metazoa; Chordata; Actinopteri; Cyprinodontiformes; Fundulidae. The record is from RefSeq and is a predicted model, not a curated record.
GUGUAGAGAGGGGGCCCAAAAAGACUGUGUUGUCCCGGGCCCUAGCAAAGCUGUCAGCUGGUCUGCUUGUAAGGGUGUUCUUGGUCUCCUGAGAAGAAUACCCAAGCGUCGUUUCUCGUGUAUGGUUAUGAGUGUAUGUGUGGGCAUUAGGGUAGGAACGUGUGACUGCGUGCCUGUGACUAUGUGCUUAUCUUGUUGUCGGACAUCUCAGGUCUCAACUAAGGGUGGAGCCCAUCUUCCUGUAAAGCUUCCUACCGGUGAUUGCCGCUCCUCGGUAUCAAGGGCUGGGUCCUCGGGAGUGUGGUGACUCAUCGUGGCAGCUGCUUCGCGGGGCGUGAGCUCCCUCGCUCUGUUCGGACCCUGCUUGGGGGCAGUGGGCCCUUGGGCCUCAGGUCUUCUGGCCCAUGGCUGGAUCUGCUCUGGAGUAGCUGGCUGCCUGUGCAGUCCCCGGGGGCUUCUGCAUUGUGGCUGCUGGGGGGUUUCCUGGGGCUCUCCUCUGUGAUGGGGGAGGCAGCCAUCUCUGUGUUGGUAAUUCUUGGGCUCCUAUGUUCUGGGGGCCCAUUUGGGCGUCUCUGAUUUUGUUGUUCUUUCUAUAUCUCUUUCUGCAGAUGUGGAAGCAGACAACAGGACCUGCUGCUAACAUCUUCAUCCAAGAAACUCCAGUACGUCUUCAGAAGUCCAUGCAUCAGCCGGUCAAGGCAUUUUCGGCAGCAAAAAGGGACCUGCACUCUAAUAGUCAGAAUGAGACAGGGCUGGACUGUGACAGAGAGACUUCCAAAAUGAUCCAGCCAGGCUUUGAUAAUGAUUUUGUUCCACCAGACUGUGAGUCCAGCAUCAUCCACUCUGCUGUUCAGCACUGGGCCGUCAUCAUUCCACACCUCUCCAU